UCAGGAGAAACCGAAAACCUGUAACAGAGUAGGUG
Non-coding RNA from Pedobacter sp. V48, 35 nucleotides. NCBI's taxonomy places the organism in Bacteria, Pseudomonadati, Bacteroidota, Sphingobacteriia, Sphingobacteriales, Sphingobacteriaceae. The record is from Rfam.